Molecule: non-coding RNA, 29 nt
Filed under: Homo sapiens (human)
Lineage: Eukaryota; Metazoa; Chordata; Mammalia; Primates; Hominidae
Source: RNAcentral
UGUUCCAGUUUGUGUGGGUGGGUCUCUGC